Molecule: ribosomal RNA, 253 nt
Filed under: uncultured bacterium
Lineage: Bacteria
Description: partial 16S ribosomal RNA
Rfam family: Bacterial small subunit ribosomal RNA
Source: RNAcentral
UACGAAGGGUGCUAGCGUUGUUCGGAAUCACUGGGCGUAAAGCGCGCGUAGGCGGCUUUACAAGUCAGGGGUGAAAUCCCACAGCUUAACUGUGGAACUGCCUUUGAAACUGUAAAGCUGGAGUGUCGGAGGGGAUAGCGGAAUUGCUAAUGUAGAGGUGAAAUUCGUAGAUAUUAGCAGGAACACCGGUGGCGAAGGCGGCUAUCUGGACGACAACUGACGCUGAGGCGCGAAAGCGCGGGGAUCAAACAGG